CAGCAAAACUGCAAACUUCACUUAGAUGCUAAGCAACAUUCCUUCCCCUCUCAAAAACAGUGAACUUGUUUUAUUUUGGGGAUUGGUCCAAGUCUGCCUCACAACCAAGUGGGAAUAGGCAUCCACAUGCAAUUUACUUGGUAUAGCAGACUGACCUUCAAUGUGCAUCUUAUAAAAAAUAAACUUUAAUGAGGGUCCAAGGAGGAACAGGAUUGCUCGAAGGCCAUCUCUGGUAAUAGCUUGGCUUUUUAGGGCCAUUUCUUGCUCAUAUAGGUUACAAGGUUUUUAGCUUUCUUUUAAUAUAUGUUCUGAUGCUUGGAAGAGAUACUGAAAAAAUGUCAUUUUUAGGAGUAAAGCUUAAGUUUUUCAGUGCUUAAAAAUGUAUAUUUCUGGACUUUUAGACUAUAUAAUAUGCAUUAAUUAUGUAGAAUCUUAUUUAAUAAUGUUUCUUACCAGUAAAUUUCAGUUAAUUUCCCUUUAUUCUCAUUCUAUUCUAAUAUUUAGAGUAGAAUUUGAAGCAAGAAGAGCAAGGUUUAUAAUGCCCUCCCCCUAAAAAUGGAAAAUCUUAUAUUUUAAUAUAAAAUUAAAGGAUUUAUAGACUGCCAAAUUGUUUUCCAGAAAGUUGGUAAUAAUUUAGACUUUUACUAACAGGUGUAUUUAAGUAUCUCUUUCUCUGCAUCUUAGACAUUUAAAAAACUUGCAUAAAUUUCAUAGGCAAUGAAUUGAGAACAGCAUCACAAAGACUGAAAGAUUUGAUACAAUAUAGCACAUAUUUAGAAUGUUGAGGUGCAGUUAGAACAUAAGGAGCGUGUGGAGAUAGCAGGAGAUGAGGUUAGGUGUAGGAAGAAACCAGAUGGUUCUGGGUGGUGAGAGGUGUGUGCAUAUGUAUAAUGCUGAACAGAGGAUCUGGACUUUAUCCUAAGGGAAUGGGCAUCAUUGAAGAGUUUACAGAGUGGAAUUAUAUAAUCAGGUGUCAUUUUAAGGGUCACUUUGGCAGUUGUGUGCAAGAUGUGUCAGAGGGGUUUCCAGAUUGGAAGCAGGAAGAGCUCUUAGGAAUUCUUAUAUUCCAGGUGGAACAUAACCUUCUUAUGAACACACACACACCCCCAAGAAGGCUUAAGGAAAAUCAGAGUGGUAGCUGCAGAAAUACCUAUUUCUGGUUCUGCCACAAAAUUGUUUUGUUUUCUAAGCCUCUCUAGUUUUUAUAUAAUGUGCAAUUCAAAGUUACAAAUCUCAAAUAUUCUUAAAACAUGAACCUUGGACUCCAAAGCAACAUUAAAAUACUAUGCUAUUAAACAUGAAAACAUUCCUAAGAAGUGGGUUGAGGGCAUUGCUUAUUUCUAAGGAUCUCAUGGUAUAUUGGAAAAAGAUUUAGAAAAGACUACUUCGGUAGAUCAAUUUUUUAAAUGGCCUCAGUUUUCCAUCCUUUCCUGGAAUGGGACUUUUGAGAUGUGACUUUACAUCAAAGGGUGAAGUCUAUUUCCCUACCCCUUGGAUCUGGCCUGGCCUUGUGGCUUACUUUGGCCAAUUUCAUGAUGGGGUGAUAUUCAGCCCUUAAGCCUAAACCUCAAGAAGGCUUGUGUUAUUCUGUUUUCUCUUCGGGGCCUCUGCUACAUGUUAGAGACUGGUUGUCUUAACUAAGAUUAUCUUAAACCAGCCUGUUACCAUUUAACCUUCCAACAGACACAUGGUUGAGCCCCACUGAGCCCAGCUCACUCAAAUCAUGAGCAUCAGCCAGCCAUCCCACAGGCUCUUGGCCACAAAUGUUUCUUAUUGCACUCCACUGGAGGUUUUGUUAUUCCUAUUUUAUGGAUAAACGAUAAAACUAAAUUAGAAUAAAAAUUAUAAUGAUGUGGGAAUUUCCAUUGUGGCUCAGUGCUAAUGAACCCAGCUAGUAUCCACGAGGACGUGGAUUUGAUCCCUGGCUUCAUGUAGUGGGUUAAAGGAUCCUACAUUGCUGAGGUCACAGACACAUCUGGGAUCCUGCAUUGCUGUGGCUAUUGUGUAGGCUAGAGGUUACUGCUCUGAUUCGACCCCUUGCCUGGGAUUUUACAUAUGCUGCAGGUGCAGCCCUAAAAAGACAUAAAGAUAAAAAUUAUAGUGUGUAUAACUUUUAUGAUUUUGGAGGACUUUGACAAUCUGACAAAAACAAAGUGGAACCCAAGUUAUCCAUCUUCUAACUUAAUGUUGUGUAUUUCUAGUUAUCUUGGCAUCUAAGUGAUUGAAUAUUUUGAGUAUUUCCUUUGGAAUAAAAAUUAUAAUAAUUAUUGUUCAGUCUGAAUACUUUGCAAACUAAUUUAGUGCACUUCUUUUUUAAAAGAUAAUUUCAUUUAUUUUUUAAAAAAACCCUGAGUGCAUACAUUUUUAAAAUUGAGGUUGCAAUCUGAAAUGCCUGUAGAGGCCAGGCAUGCAUCAUAAUUGAGUGACUCAUGCUUGCUGUAAAAUACUAGGCAGUAGGGGAGAUUUGGAAAAAUGAAGGACACAUUUCCAAUGCAAAGGCAUUGAAUUCAAAUGUUUAAGAACACUGUGCCAGUCAAACACAACAUACCUGUGGGUCAGUUCAGUCCAUAGGUUGCCAGUUUAUGACCUCUAUUCUAAAAUUUUGAUUUUUGGCUUAUGUUCAGGCAUUAGCUCAAGCUCUACUUUUAAUAGGUUUGAGGGUGGAUUUUGUGACUGGAAGAGAAUAAUGGAAAGAUGAGAUGUUUUAUGUCUUAUUUCCUCCGUCAGCCUUCCUGUAGUAAUCAGUACAUAUUAGAUUGGCUCUAACAUCUUUUUGUUACUCAUUGAGAUAUAAGAGAACAGUAAAGUAAAACAUCCCCAUUCUGGAAGACUUGUCUUUGGUUAAUACCUAGAAAUAAUUGUAGCUGUGGUGUACUUAAAUGUUACCUCCCCUUUGGUGUGGAGAAGAGGUUCACUGAGGCACCAACCUAGCACAGAUUUGAAAUGCUUUAUCACCAGCUAUACAGCCCACCCUGACACGGCUUUUGUAAGCAGACUCCAAGAACUGACCCUUCGCAUUUUUCACACACACACAGUUUCAGGCUAGUUGCAGGACAUUUUUCUCCCUGAAUAUUAGAAGAGGUAAAAACAAACUUCAUUUAAAUGUCCUUGUCCUCUUGAGCAUGGUUCAGAGAUUCAGGCAGAUUGAGUACCUCAGCUUAUUUAGAGUGAAUUCAUUAACAAUAUAUUUCAGAGUCCUUGCUAUUUAAUUCUCUCUGUCCCUUUCCUUAUCCCCUUGCAUAUGUACAUGCAUACAUAGUUAUCUAUAUAUUAAGCACCUUUUGAAUCUCCUGGCUGAUUAUCAAGUAAUUUAUUCAUUUAUUUAUUCAUUCAAAUAAUAAUAUUCAGUAUUUUAGGCAUAGUGCUGGGCAUUGGGGAUAGAAAUAAUCAAGAAAGUCAGGUUUUGGAAUUUCCAUCAUGGCUCAGUGGUAACAAACCCAGCUAGUAUCCAUGAGGAUGUAUGUUUGACCCCUGGCCUCGUUCAGUGGAUUAAGGAUCUGGUGUUGCCAUGAGCUGCAGUGUAGGUUGCAGACACAGCUCGGAUGGCAUUGCUGUGGCUGUAGUGUAGGCUGGUGGCUGCAUCUCUGAUUUGACCCCUAGCCUGGGAACUUCCAUAUGCUGUGGGUGCAGUGCCCCACCCCCAAUAAAAAAGAAGAGAAAGUCAUGCUUCUCUUAUCAUGGAAUUUGUGUUCUACUUGGGAUAAAACAUAUCAUUUAAAAAUCAUUAAUAAAUACACAAAUAAUUAAAUGGGAUAAUUUCAGAUUGUGAUACAUGCUAUAAAGGAAAUAAACAAGCUGAUAUGAUAAAAAGUAAAGGAAUAAGAAUCAGGUGAUUUUGUUAAUUUGUGGUGAAAUAAGUCCUCUCUGAACAGAGUAUUAUUUUUGCAGUCAUUUAAUACUUAAGAAUAAGUCAUCCAGUGUUCAAUUUUCAGUAAUGACUGUCUAAUUUGUUUCCUACCAACCCUCCCACUGGGAAUAACUAUAAAGCUGCAAUAAAUAAAAAAUAUAUAUUUAAUAGCACCAGAGAAAUAUCAAGAUAGUGAAGAUGCAUAAGGAAAUAUCUAGAAAUUAAUCCAACAUUUGGAAUCAAUUUUCCCCUUGAGGCAUUUGCUGAUUCAAAAGUGGCAGCUGAGAAACUGAAGUUAAAAUCCUGGCUUAGAGGAUAAAUUGGGCAGAUUUUAGUCUCUGGGUGCUAGUAGAGUUUGAACCUCUCGAAGGAGGAGAGGCCCUGAUAAAUGCUCAGGGUUUUUAGUUGGAACCCUAAAGGGCUAAAAAUGGUAUGCUAAUAAUAAACCAUUCCUCAAAAUAAUGGAGGCCCAAUUUUAAAUUAGCUCAAUGCCUGAUUACAUUAUGGAAUUUCUUUCUAGCCUAGUCACUUGCCAAAAGCAAUUGUAAAUCCUCUUGGAUGUAAAAUAAUGUCAUUCAGAACUUUCACUGUAUUUAGCAUUCAAUCUAAAGUAACUAGAUAUCUGGGAGUUCCCAUUGUGGCACAGUGGUUAAUGAAUCCAACUAGGAACCAUGAGGUUGCAGGUUCGAUCCCUGGCCUUGCUCAGUGGGUUAUGGAUCUGGUGUUGCCGUGAGCUGUGGUGUAGGUCGCAGAUGCAGCUUGGAUCUCGCGUUGCUGUGGCUCUGGCAUAGGCCAGCAGCUAUAGCUCCGAUUUAACCCCUAGCCUGGGAAACUCCAUAUGCUGCAAGAGCCGCCCACGAAAUGGCAAAAAAAAA
This 4722-nucleotide long non-coding RNA is filed under the name Sus scrofa (pig). RNAcentral's name for it is "lncRNA (ENSSSCG00015009011.1)". The record is from RNAcentral. Lineage: Eukaryota; Metazoa; Chordata; Mammalia; Artiodactyla; Suidae.